Molecule: long non-coding RNA, 245 nt
Organism: Salvelinus sp. IW2-2015
Lineage: Eukaryota; Metazoa; Chordata; Actinopteri; Salmoniformes; Salmonidae
Source: RefSeq, a predicted model, not a curated record
GAGAGCUUGUACUAGCCUACCUGAUUAAAGAAAGAAUACUUCAAMAUGAGAAGAUCCUGCCAUGGAAGAGACGACUGGGUGGACAUAAAGUGGAAAGGAGGGGAAAUAACUCACACCAUGCAGCAGGACACCUUCAGCUGCGUGGUCUUUGUAAUGCAGAUGGCCAAGGAAGUUGCACAGAACUUCCACAACAUCCCCUACCAUGGAGCAACUGCGAAAAGAAAUGGCUGAGGGUAUACUAAAAA